RNAcentral lists this transfer RNA (72 nucleotides) under Bos taurus (domestic cattle). It matches the Rfam family "tRNA". Rfam says of the family: Transfer RNA (tRNA) molecules are approximately 80 nucleotides in length. RNAcentral also lists the same sequence under 3 other names. The record is from Rfam by way of RNAcentral. Lineage: Eukaryota; Metazoa; Chordata; Mammalia; Artiodactyla; Bovidae.
UUUUUGAUGGUCCAGUGGUUAGGACUCAGUGCUUUCACAGCUGGGGCCCAGGUUCGAUCCCUGGUGGGGGAA